UUUAUACUCUCUCCGUCCCAAAAUUCUUGUCUUAAGUUUGUUUAGUAAUGAAUGUAUCAAAAUAUUAAAACGUGACUAGAUACAUUUAUAUCUAGAUAAAUUUAAGACAAUUUUUUUGGGACGGAGGAAGUAUUUG
Non-coding RNA from Hordeum vulgare subsp. vulgare (domesticated barley), 136 nucleotides. NCBI's taxonomy places the organism in Eukaryota, Viridiplantae, Streptophyta, Magnoliopsida, Poales, Poaceae. The record is from Rfam.